This is a long non-coding RNA of Priapulus caudatus, 136 nucleotides long. RefSeq lists it as uncharacterized. The transcript is spliced from 3 exons. NCBI's taxonomy places the organism in Eukaryota, Metazoa, Priapulida, Priapulimorpha, Priapulimorphida, Priapulidae. The record is from RefSeq and is a predicted model, not a curated record.
UAUAACAUAGUAGAGUAGAACAUGUUCGACUCGCUGCGAUCGCGUUGCGACUGACAACCUUCCAGUCGCAAGCAGUCGCAGACUCGUCGCUGGCAGUCACAGGGGUGCUUAGGUCGAACUUUCUCUGUGACGCGAU